GAUGAACGCUGGCGGCGUGCCUAAUACAUGCAAGUCGAGCGAACAGACGAGGAGCUUGCUCCUCUGACGUUAGCGGCGGACGGGUCAGUAACACGUGGAUAACCUACCUAUAAGACUGGGAGAACUUCGGGAAACCGGAGCUAAUACCGGAGAAUAUAUUGAACCGCAUGGUUCAAUAGUGAAAGACGGUUUUGCUGUCACUUAUAGAUGGAUCCGCGCCGCAUUAGCUAGUUGGUAAGGUAACGGCUUACCAAGGCGACGAUGCGUAGCCGACCUGAGAGGGUGAUCGGCCACACUGGAACUGAGACACGGUCCAGACUCCUACGGGAGGCAGCAGCAGGGAAUCUUCCGCAAUGGGCGAAAGCCUGACGGAGCAACGCCGCGUGAGUGAUGAAGGUCUUCGGAUCGUAAAACUCUGUUAUUAGGGAAGAAAAAAUGUGUAAGUAACUAUGCACGUCUUGACGGUACCUAAUCAGAAAGCCACGGCUAACUACGUG
Molecule: ribosomal RNA, 497 nt
Filed under: uncultured bacterium
Lineage: Bacteria
Description: partial 16S ribosomal RNA
Rfam family: Bacterial small subunit ribosomal RNA
Source: RNAcentral